GCGCCCGUAGCUCAAUGGAUAGAGCAUUGGACUUCGGAUCCAAGGGUUGGGGGUUCGACUCCCUCCGGGCGCGCCA
RNAcentral lists this transfer RNA (76 nucleotides) under Nitrospira sp. RNAcentral describes it as "tRNA-Arg". It matches the Rfam family "tRNA". Rfam says of the family: Transfer RNA (tRNA) molecules are approximately 80 nucleotides in length. Lineage: Bacteria; Pseudomonadati; Nitrospirota; Nitrospiria; Nitrospirales; Nitrospiraceae. The record is from RNAcentral. RNAcentral also lists the same sequence under 1 other name.